Molecule: long non-coding RNA, 701 nt
Organism: Carassius auratus (goldfish)
Lineage: Eukaryota; Metazoa; Chordata; Actinopteri; Cypriniformes; Cyprinidae
Exons: 5
Source: RefSeq, a predicted model, not a curated record
CGAUGAUCCUGUUCAUGUAGCACAGGCACAAAAGCCUACUAAAAGAAUAUCCAAUCAGUUCUAUUUUCAAAAUCAGUAUUUUGGAGCAGGUUAUCAAUCAGUGGCAGUUUGUGUAACUGAUGGGAGGUCAUGGCUUGUUUGCUGUCACCAGCAGAUGGCGCUCUGUCAAUGCCACAUGGGAGCUUCCUUGUUCACCCUGCAGCCUUGUGUCUGCUAUCCAGAUGGACUCAUUACAAUGAUUCCCACACAGCUGAGAGGCAUCUGCAGAUGACAGGAAGGGGCUGACGGAGAAUUGCCAUAUGACCAAUCGAUACUGAGAUGACAGUAGCAGGAUGGUAUGCGUGUUGCUGUCAGAGCUGUUGCUGGUGCCAGGCUUUAUUGAUCAGUCUUAACAGUUAUCCCAGCCCUUUCUACUCGGCCCAGGACUACUGCAGCACAGAAUUAAAUGAAAGAAAUCCCUCAGAGACUACAGAAUGGUCAGUGUGGGGCAGGGAGAGGAAAGGAUGGAGUGAAUGAGUGAAAGAAAGUCUGUUUGAUAAAAAGUCUUCAGGGCUGAGGGCUAGGAUUUCAACAUGUUGAAGAUCUCAGAGCUUCAUUGAUUCAAUGUCUUCCUCUCAGCCUCUCACACUGACCAUCAAACCAUCAAAGAUCACACAGUACUCCUCACCUAUGGAUCAGGCUUCCAGGAACCUGAAGGGUUA